UCGCUUUUGAACCCGUCGAAAGAGAGGGGGGGACACUGUGCGAAGAAAGAGGGAAAAGCCUGGAGGUCCUUAGUGUGAGAGAGAGGAGAGAAAAAAAAGAUUCAAAAGAUUUCAAAAUCUUCUAGAAAAUUUCUCACAUUUUAAAGUUUUUACUUCUUUGUACACUCAGCUGUGCGAUCAGAGAGUGUUUUGAAUGAGUCGUUUAGGGUACAAAUCCGUGGUUUAUCACGGCGAUAUUUGUUUGGGAGAAUUGGAUACUAUUCCGGUGUCGGACAAGAUUUUGCAGUUUCCAAACAACGAGAUUCGGAUUCACCACUUGUCUCCCGGCAGCGAGCGAUGCAUUCCUCUCUCAAUUCUCCAUACGAUUUCUUCAUCCUCGUUGCGUUGUAAGCUCGAAUCUUCGUCUCCAGUUGAACAACCUAAUUUGAUCAAUCUUCACGCCGCUUGCUACUACGAAUUGAAGACGGCGGUUGUGGUUUUUGGAGAUGAGGAGGUUCACCUGGUGGCGAUGCCAAGUAAGCAGAAGAAGUAUCCGUGCUUUUGGUGCUAUGCGGUUCCCUUGGGUCUGUACAAUUCCUGUUUAGGAAUGUUGAAUUUAAGGUGUUUAGCGAUUGUAUUUGAUCUUGAUGAAACACUUAUUGUUGCCAACACGAUGAAGUCGUUUGAGGAUAGAAUUGAGGCUCUUAGAGCUUGGGUUGCUCGAGAGACUGAUUCAAUUCGGGCUGCUGGAAUGACUACUGAGUUGAAGCGAUGCUUGGAUGAUCGAAUGUUGUUGAAGCAGUACACAGAGAAUGAUUUUGUGAUGGAUAAUGGAAAGAUGUUUAAGAUUCAACAGGAGGAGGUUCCUUCACUGUCUGAUAACCAUGAGAGAAUUGUUCGACCUGUGAUCAGAUUGCAGGAAAGGAAUCUUGUUCUCACGAGGAUCAAUCCUGAGAAUCGUGAUACUAGUGUGCUUGUGAGGUUACGACCUGCAUGGGAAGAUUUGAAAAGUUAUUUGAUUGCGAAAGGACGCAAGAGGUUUGAAGUGUAUGUUUGUACCAUGGCUGAAAGAGAUUAUGCCUUAGAAAUGUGGAGGCUUUUAGACCCUGAGGCACACUUGAUAAGUUCAAAGCAACUCCUGGAUCGUGUUGUUUGUGUGAAAUCAGGUUCCAAGAAAUCUUUGUUAAAUGUCUUUCAGCAUGGAAUGUGCCAUCCAAAGAUGGCAAUGGUGAUUGAUGAUCGUUGUAAGGUUUGGGAAGAUAAGGACCAACCUCGAGUUCAUGUAGUUCCUGCGUUCAGUCCGUAUUAUGCUCCUCAAGCUGAGACAGCAAGUGCUGUUCCAGUCCUUUGUGUGGCAAGAAAUGUUGCUUGUAAUGUCAGAGGUUACUUUUUUAAGGAGUUUGAUGAGAAUUUAUUACGAAGAAUAUCUGAAAUCUCCUAUGAGGAUGAUAUGAUAAAUUUGCCACCUGCUCCUGAUGUGAGCAAUUACUUGAUCUCAGAGGAUGCCAGUUUUGUACCAAAUGGCAAUACCAACACCCCAGUCGGUGAAGGAAUGAAUGGAGUUGAAGUGGAGAGGAGAUUGAACCAACUGGAUGAGAAGUAUGUUGUGGACUCAGCUGUGAACCCUAUGAAGAAUAAUUUUGAUUUGAAAUCUGAAACUUCUCAGCCACCAGUUGCAAUUAAUCUGAAUGCCACUGGUCCAACAUCUUCAGCAACACUCAUUCCUUCGCAAAAACCUAGUUUGCUUGGGGCUCCUAUUAGGCGAGAGAACAGCUCUGUGAGGCCUGGUUUAGAUUUAAGGAAUCAAAGCUCAAGUCAGCCUCCUCUUCUACCUCGAUUACCUGUGCAAACAUCAUCAUCCUCGAUGCAAGCACAGGGUGGCUGGAUAAUGGAAGAAGAUGUUAACCGAGUGUAUCAAAAUAAUCAACCAGGUUCAAGUUCAACUGGUGUACUUUCACAUGCAUCCCAAGGGAAGGGUGAAGAGGCAACUAAUUUGCAUAGACAAGACAUUCUACCAACAACUCAGCCUUCAGAGGUUGGUGUAUCACAAAAUCAUGCAUCCUCUAAUGGCAAAGAGGCUCAGAUUGAUGGUGGAAAAAUGAACUUCCUACCAUCCCAUCUGUCUAUUGGUGUGCUGCAAGAAAUUGGAAAGAGAUGUAGCUCAAAGGUUGAGUUCAGGUCUGUUGUAAGCACCAGUAAGGAUUUGCAAUUUUCUGUUGAGGUUUUGUUCACCGGUGAGAAGAUAGGUGUUGGAAUGGGUAAGACAAGGAAGGAUGCUCAACAGCAAGCUGCUGAGAAUGCCUUGCAUAGCUUAGCAGAAAAGUAUGUAGCAUAUGUAACACCUCGCUCUGGAGCUGUGGACAGAGAUUUUGAUAAGCUUUCUCUGGAAAAUGAAAAUGGAUUUCUGUGGGAGACUGUCAAUCCUGAAUCAGAUGAAGGGCCAAAAGAAGAUGAGUUACGCAAAGAAAGCACUCCUGAGGCUGCUGAUGUUGAACCUGGGAGUACUUCCUCCAGUUUUGUAAAUCAGCAAGUGCAAAAACGUGGCAAUUUCCCCAGAUCACCACAGUUUAUUCCGAGCAAACGGUCAAAGGAAGAACUUCAUGGUUCAGAAAGUUUACCAUCCUCUCGACAGCAGAAGAAUGGGCAUUCUGUUACAUGAAAAACAGUAAAGUGUAGAAUAGACCCAGAUCAAAGAGAGAAAAAUGGUCCAUUUGUACAUUCAUCUGCCCACUUUCCCCAGCAGAGCCGAAGUUGGCUCCGUUGGAGAGGUGCCGGUGGCGGCUCUUGGUGGCCAAGUUUGAACGGAUUUGAAUCAGAGGUGUAGAUUUGAGCAGGAGACACGAAACAAAAGGGAGAGAAGAAAACCUAAUUGCCAAAACGAAAGAGAACGAAAGAGAAAGAGAGUGAGAAAACGGAAGUGUUUUGAAGUUGAGCUCCUGUAUGUCCGGCAUUGCCUUUCGAUCCUUAUACUCCAAUAAAGUUUUACAACACCUAUAUAAGAUCCGCGGAGGUUUCAAACUUUGCGGCCACUCGAAGCUUUGCUUCAUUUUGAUUUGGGACUGGAGAAAUUAUACAUGCGGAUACGGCUGCCAUUCUUUAUAUAUCAAGUACCUGAUAACUCUGGUAUACAUUCACUAAUAAAAUAAAUGCUGGGCAUCACAAAUAAUACCAUACAACUGUUAUAGGGUCAAGGAAUGAAGUUGAUACGUAUGUACAUACAAGAAGCCUUCACGCUUUACUGUUCAUGGCAGGUUACUACAAAAAUUCGGAGAUGAGUUGCACAGUUACAGUUAAUAACUAAUGGAGCAUCUUUCUUCCCUGUUCUACUAUACAUAUGUUACAGCAACCCCAAAUUAGUUAGAGGCAUCUGUAGCGUUCUACGACCCCAUUGGAUGUCAUUUUGCACUACAUUACUUCCGAAUCUUUCUUCCCUGGUAUCCUGUUCUUCUUUGGCUAGAGAAAGGUCAUCAAGAUGUUUAACGUCAGUUUGCAAUGGUGUUUUGUUAGGCUCCUCUUCUUCUUUGUCUAAACGAGGAACAUCAAGUUUUCUGGUUACCUCGAAAAUUUUCACCUUUUGCGGAUCA
Molecule: RNA transcript, 3563 nt
Organism: Mangifera indica (mango)
Lineage: Eukaryota; Viridiplantae; Streptophyta; Magnoliopsida; Sapindales; Anacardiaceae
Gene name: RNA polymerase II C-terminal domain phosphatase-like 2
Exons: 18
Source: RefSeq, a predicted model, not a curated record